GACGAACGCUGGCGGCGUGCUUAACACAUGCAAGUCGAACGGUGAAGCGCUUUCCUUUUUGGUUGGUGUGGUGGAGUGGGGAACGGGUGAGUAACACGUGAGUAACCUUCCCCCUUCUUCUGGAUAACCGCAUGAAAGCUUGGCUAAUACUGGAUAUUCUGCUCCUUCUGCAUGGUGGGUGUGGGAAAGAUUUUGCCUUUGGGUGCUUGCGGUGGGGGAUGGUCUCGUGGCCUAUGAGCUUGUUGGUGGGGUGAUGGCCUACCAAGGAGGUGACUGGUAGGCGGGCUGAGGGGGUGGACGGUUACACUGGGACUGAGAAACGGGCCACACUCCUACGGGCGGCAGCAGUGGGGAAGACUGCAGGGUGGGCGAAAGCCUGAUGGAGCGACGCCGCGUGAGGGAUGGAGGCGUUCGGGUUGUGAACCUCUUUCGUGAGUGAAGCAGGCCUGCUCGUUGUGGGUGGGUUGACGGUAGCUGGAUAAGAAGCGCCGGCUAACUACGUG
Molecule: ribosomal RNA, 503 nt
Filed under: uncultured bacterium
Lineage: Bacteria
Description: partial 16S ribosomal RNA
Rfam family: Bacterial small subunit ribosomal RNA
Source: RNAcentral